ACGAUGAUGCCCAGCUUGCUGGGUGGAUUAGUGGCGAACGGGUGAGUAACACGUGAGUAACCUGCCCCUGACUCUGGGAUAAGCGUUGGAAACGACGUCUAAUACUGGAUAUGACUGCUGGCCGCAUGGUCUGGUGGUGGAAAGAUUUUUUGGUUGGGGAUGGACUCGCGGCCUAUCAGCUUGUUGGUGAGGUAAUGGCUCACCAAGGCGACGACGGGUAGCCGGCCUGAGAGGGUGACCGGCCACACUGGGACUGAGACACGGCCCAGACUCCUACGGGAGGCAGCAGUGGGGAAUAUUGCACAAUGGGCGAAAGCCUGAUGCAGCAACGCCGCGUGAGGGAUGACGGCCUUCGGGUUGUAAACCUCUUUUAGUAGGGAAGAAGCGUAAGUGACGGUACCUGCAGAAAAAGCACCGGCUAACUACGUGCCAGCAGCCGCGGUAAUACGUAGGGUGCAAGCGUUGUCCGGAAUUAUUGGGCGUAAAGAGCUCGUAGGCGGUUUGUCGCGUCUGCUGUGAAAUCCCGAGGCUCAACCUCGGGCUUGCAGUGGGUACGGGCAGACUAGAGUGCGGUAGGGGAGAUUGGAAUUCCUGGUGUAGCGGUGGAAUGCGCAGAUAUCAGGAGGAACACCGAUGGCGAAGGCAGAUCUCUGGGCCGUAACUGACGCUGAGGAGCGAAAGCGUGGGGAGCGAACAGGAUUAGAUACCCUGGUAGUCCACGCCGUAAACGUUGGGCGCUAGAUGUAGGGACCUUUCCACGGUUUCUGUGUCGUAGCUAACGCAUUAAGCGCCCCGCCUGGGGAGUACGGCCGCAAGGCUAAAACUCAAAGGAAUUGACGGGGGCCCGCACAAGCGGCGGAGCAUGCGGAUUAAUUCGAUGCAACGCGAAGAACCUUACCAAGGCUUGACAUACACCGGAAACGGCCAGAGAUGGUUGCCCCCUUGUGGUCGGUGUACAGGUGGUGCAUGGUUGUCGUCAGCUCGUGUCGUGAGAUGUUGGGUUAAGUCCCGCAACGAGCGCAACCCUCGUUCUAUGUUGCCAGCGCGUUAUGGCGGGGACUCAUAGGAGACUGCCGGGGUCAACUCGGAGGAAGGUGGGGAUGACGUCAAAUCAUCAUGCCCCUUAUGUCUUGGGCUUCACGCAUGCUACAAUGGCCGGUACAAAGGGCUGCGAUACCGUAAGGUGGAGCGAAUCCCAAAAAGCCGGUCUCAGUUCGGAUUGAGGUCUGCAACUCGACCUCAUGAAGUCGGAGUCGCUAGUAAUCGCAGAUCAGCAACGCUGCGGUGAAUACGUUCCCGGGCCUUGUACACACCGCCCGUCAAGUCAUGAAAGUCGGUAACACCCGAAGCCGGUG
Molecule: ribosomal RNA, 1355 nt
Filed under: Curtobacterium sp. K12G2
Lineage: Bacteria; Bacillati; Actinomycetota; Actinomycetes; Micrococcales; Microbacteriaceae
Description: bacterial SSU rRNA
Rfam family: Bacterial small subunit ribosomal RNA
Source: RNAcentral